Molecule: small RNA, 957 nt
Filed under: Pongo abelii (Sumatran orangutan)
Lineage: Eukaryota; Metazoa; Chordata; Mammalia; Primates; Hominidae
Description: retained intron
Source: RNAcentral
CCGGGUGGGAGUGACUGUGGCACAGACCACAAUGGAGCCACAUCUUCUAGAAGCCUGUGUGCGUGAUGUACUGAAUGACACAGCCCCACGAGCCAUGGCUGUGCUGGAGUCACUACGGGUCAUCAUCACCAACUUUCCCGCUGCCAAGUCCUUGGACAUCCAGGUGCCCAACUUCCCAGCUGAUGAGACCAAAGGCUUCCAUCAGGUUCCCUUUGCACCCAUUGUCUUCAUUGAGAGGACUGACUUCAAGGAGGAGCCAGAGCCAGGAUUUAAGCGCCUGGCUUGGGGCCAGCCUGUGGGCCUGAGGCAUACAGGCUACGUCAUUGAGCUGCAGCGUGUUGUCAAGGGCCCCCGUGGUUGUGUAGAGAGUCUGGAGGUGACCUGCAGACGGGCAGAUGCUGGAGAGAAGCCAAAGGCCUUUAUUCACUGGGUGUCACAGCCUUUGAUGUGUGAGGUUCGCCUCUAUGAGCGACUGUGAGUGGUGAACAGAGCUGGGGUGGGGGCAGGUACAAGAUGCACAUUGCCUGCUGUGGCUGCCCAGCUGGGGGUGUGACCUUCACUUUGGCUGCAGAUUCCAGCACAAGAACCCUGAAGAUCCUACUGAGGUGCCUGGUGGAUUUUUAAGUGACCUGAACCUGGUAGGUUCGUGAGGUUUGGGGUGAGGGAGGUAGGCCUCCCUGGUUGGAUGGUUGCCUGAGUUCCCUGCCUGCAGGCAUCACUACACGUGGUGGAGGCAGCAUUAGUGGACUGCUCUGUGGCCCUGGCAAAACCCUUUGACAAGUUCCAGUUUGAGCGUCUUGGAUACUUCUCCGUGGAUCCAGACAGCCAUCAGGGAAAGCUUGUCUUUAACCGAACUGUCACACUGAAGGAAGACCCGGGAAAGGUGUGAGCUGGAAACACUGAACCUACCUCAUCCUCCUGGAGGGUGGGGCUACCCUCGCUACCCCAAAUUCCAUG